MicroRNA precursor from Cercocebus atys (sooty mangabey), 87 nucleotides. NCBI's taxonomy places the organism in Eukaryota, Metazoa, Chordata, Mammalia, Primates, Cercopithecidae. The record is from Ensembl.
CCCAGGCGCCCGCUCCCUACCCACGCCGCGCCGCCGGGUCCCUCCUCCCCGGAGAGGCUGGGCUCGGGACGCGCGGCUCAGCUCGGG